UCCGUAGGUGAACCUGCGGAGGGAUCAUUAUAGAGUUUCUAAACUCCCAACCCAUGUGAACUUACCAUUGUUGCCUCGGCAGAAGCUGCUCGGCGCGCCUUACCUUGGAACGGCCUACCCUGUAGCGCCUUACCCUGGAACGGCUUACCCUGCAACGGCUGCCGGUGGACUACCAAACUCUUGUUAUUUUAUGGUUAUCUGAGCGUCUUAUUUUAAUAAGUCAAAACUUUCAACAACGGAUCUCUUGGUUCUGGCAUCGAUGAAGAACGCAGCGAAAUGCGAUAAGUAAUGUGAAUUGCAGAAUUCAGUGAAUCAUCGAAUCUUUGAACGCACAUUGCGCCCAUUAGUAUUCUAGUGGGCAUGCCUGUUCGAGCGUCAUUUCAACCCUUAAGCCUAGCUUAGUGUUGGGAGCCUACUGCUUUUGCUAGCUGUAGCUCCUGAAAUACAACGGCGGAUCUGCGAUAUCCUCUGAGCGUAGUAAUUUUUAUCUCGCUUUUGACUGGAGUUGCAGCGUCUUUAGCCGCUAAACCCCCCAAUUUUUAAUGGUUGACCUCGGAUCAGGUAGGAAUACCCGCUGAACUUAAGCAUAUCAAUAAGCGGAGGA
Molecule: ribosomal RNA, 604 nt
Filed under: Pestalotiopsis microspora
Lineage: Eukaryota; Fungi; Ascomycota; Sordariomycetes; Amphisphaeriales; Sporocadaceae
Description: eukaryotic LSU rRNA
Rfam family: 5.8S ribosomal RNA (bases 225-378)
Source: RNAcentral